Lethenteron reissneri (Far Eastern brook lamprey) is the source of this 668-nucleotide long non-coding RNA. RefSeq lists it as uncharacterized. Lineage: Eukaryota; Metazoa; Chordata; Hyperoartia; Petromyzontiformes; Petromyzontidae. The record is from RefSeq and is a predicted model, not a curated record.
GCGGGUGUCUCAGAUUGCCAGCACCAUGUGAUGGGAGCUCCAGGGCAUGCUGCGUGCUCGCCAGGAGGGGCUGGGCAAGAUGGCGUAGUCGCUGGAGCAGCUGCGGGCGCGGCACCGUCGCUCUCACCCUGGCGGAGUGCAGCAACACAGUGGAGCGGCACCAGCGGGACACUCUGGACAACGCAGCCAAGGCUGUUGCCCCGCUCGCCCGACUCGUUGAGAGGCUUGCCCACCCCCCAGGGCGUUGUCGUGAAGAUACCGCUGGGAGGAAGAAUAUCUCACAAUACUGGAAGAGGUGCACUGAGUUUUCCCUCUGCAUUGAGAAUAAACUUGCAUUCAGAGGAUUUGGCUGCAAUGCAUGUGUAAGUGGUAAGUCACUUUGUUUACCUGUAAUUUGUAACAAGGUCGCUUUUGAAAAAGAUCUAUAUAGCUCUGUGGGCCUUAGCUGGUACAAUGAGAAAUAGUUCAGUUUUCGUUUAUUGGGUGGGUGAGUGGUUGAUGGGUGAUUGAUUGAGUGGGUGGUUGGGUUGGUGGGUGAGUGUGUGAGUUAGAGAGUGGGUGGGUGGAUGGGUGGGUGUGUGAGUGGGGGAGUGAAUAGGUGAGUGGGUGGGUGAGUGGAGUCUAGAGUGAGUGAGUGAGUGGGUUGGUAGGUGGGUCGUUGAGUUAAU